This 100-nucleotide ribosomal RNA is filed under the name Caerostris darwini. Lineage: Eukaryota; Metazoa; Arthropoda; Arachnida; Araneae; Araneidae. The record is from RNAcentral.
ACAUGAAUAUACCGGUUCUCGUUAGAUCACCGAAGUCAAGCAUCAUUGGGCGCGGUCAGUACUUGGGUGGGUGACCACCUGGCAACACCGCGUGCCGUUG